UCUGGCGGCAGUUGCGCGGUGGUCCCACCUGACCCCAUGCCGAACUCAGAAGUGAAACGCCGUAGCGCCGAUGGUAGUGUGGGGUCUCCC
This 90-nucleotide ribosomal RNA is filed under the name Shigella flexneri. Lineage: Bacteria; Pseudomonadati; Pseudomonadota; Gammaproteobacteria; Enterobacterales; Enterobacteriaceae. The record is from RNAcentral. RNAcentral also lists the same sequence under 1 other name.